This 482-nucleotide ribosomal RNA is filed under the name uncultured bacterium. RNAcentral describes it as "bacterial SSU rRNA". It matches the Rfam family "Bacterial small subunit ribosomal RNA", at positions 31 to 507 of the family's 1533-position model. The record is from RNAcentral.
GAACGCUAGCUACAGGCUUAACACAUGCAAGUCGAGGGGUCUCAACGGAGCUUGCUUCAGCGAGACGACCGGCGCACGGGUGAGUAACGCGUAUCCAACCUGCCCUUCAUAUUGGGAUAGCCUCUCGAAAAGGGAGAUUAAUACCGAAUAACAUGAGAAAGUUGCCUGAUUUUCUCAUGAAAGCUCCGGCGAUGAAGGAUGGGGAUGCGUUCCAUUAGGUAGUAGGCGGGGUAACGGCCCACCUAGCCUACGAUGGAUAGGGGUUCUGAGAGGAAGGUCCCCCACACUGGAACUGAGACACGGUCCAGACUCCUACGGGAGGCAGCAGUGAGGAAUAUUGGUCAAUGGUCUGACGACUGAACCAGCCAUGCCGCGUGAAGGUGACGGCCCUAUGGGUCUUAAACUUCUUUUGCAAGGGAGCAAUAAGGCGCACGUGUGCGUCGAUGAGAGUACCUUGCGAAUAAGCAUCGGCUAACUCCGUG